Molecule: ribosomal RNA, 727 nt
Filed under: Kribbella sp.
Lineage: Bacteria; Bacillati; Actinomycetota; Actinomycetes; Propionibacteriales; Kribbellaceae
Description: bacterial SSU rRNA
Rfam family: Bacterial small subunit ribosomal RNA
Source: RNAcentral
UAAGGCCCCUUCGGGGGUACACGAGCGGCGAACGGGUGAGUAACACGUGAGCAACCUACCCUCAACUUCGGGAUAAGCCUCGGAAACGGGGUCUAAUACCGGAUAUCAUCACGGACUUCAUGGUUUGUGGUUGAAAGUUCUGGCGGUUGGGGAUGGGCUCGCGGCCUAUCAGCUUGUUGGUGGGGUAAUGGCCUACCAAGGCGUCGACGGGUAGCCGGCCUGAGAGGGCGACCGGCCACACUGGGACUGAGACACGGCCCAGACUCCUACGGGAGGCAGCAGUGGGGAAUAUUGCGCAAUGGACGAAAGUCUGACGCAGCAACGCCGCGUGAGGGAUGACGGCCUUCGGGUUGUAAACCUCUUUCAGCAGGGACGAAGCGAGAGUGACGGUACCUGCAGAAGAAGGACCGGCCAACUACGUGCCAGCAGCCGCGGUAAUACGUAGGGUCCGAGCGUUGUCCGGAAUUAUUGGGCGUAAAGGGCUCGUAGGCGGUUCGUCACGUCGGGAGUGAAAACUCGGAGCUUAACUCCGAGCCUGCUUCCGAUACGGGCAGACUAGAGGUAGGCAGGGGAGAGCGGAACUCCUGGUGUAGCGGUGGAAUGCGCAGAUAUCAGGAAGAACACCGGUGGCGAAGGCGGCUCUCUGGGCCUUACCUGACGCUGAGGAGCGAAAGCGUGGGUAGCGAACAGGAUUAGAUACCCUGGUAGUCCACGCCGUAAACGUUGG